This 305-nucleotide unclassified non-coding RNA is filed under the name plant metagenome. Its description in RNAcentral is "partial contains 5.8S ribosomal RNA, internal transcribed spacer 2, and large subunit ribosomal RNA". The stretch from base 1 to 104 matches the Rfam family "5.8S ribosomal RNA", at positions 51 to 154 of the family's 154-position model. The record is from RNAcentral.
AAAUGCGAUAAGUAAUGUGAAUUGCAGAAUUCAGUGAAUCAUCGAAUCUUUGAACGCACAUUGCGCCCGCCAGUAUUCUGGCGGGCAUGCCUGUCCGAGCGCCAUUUCAACCAUCAAGCCCCCGGGCUUGUGUUGGGGACCUGCGGCUGCCCGCAGGCCCUGAAAACCAGUGGCGGGCUCGCUGUCACACCGAGCGUAGUAGCAAUCACCUCGCUCAGGGCGUGCUGCGGGUUCCGGCCGUUAAACAGCCUUACAAAACCCAAGGUUGACCUCGGAUCAGGUAGGAAGACCCGCUGAACUUAAGC